RNAcentral lists this ribosomal RNA (144 nucleotides) under uncultured soil bacterium. RNAcentral describes it as "partial 16S ribosomal RNA". It matches the Rfam family "Bacterial small subunit ribosomal RNA", at positions 355 to 493 of the family's 1533-position model. The record is from RNAcentral.
UGGGGAAUAUUGGACAAUGGGCGAAAGCCUGAUCCAGCAAUGCCGCGUGUGUGAAGAAGGCCUUCGGGUUGUAAAGCACUUUAGGUCGGAAAGAAAAAGCUCUCCUUAAUACGAAGAGCCUUGACGUACCGACAGAAUAGCCCG